UACGGAGGAUGCAAGCGUUAUCCGGAAUGAUUGGGCGUAAAGCGUCCGCAGGUGGCAAUGUAAGUCUGCUGUCAAAGCGUCUGGCUCAACCAGAUAAAGGCAGUGGAAACUACAUAGCUAGAGUAAGGUAGGGGUAGAGGGAAUUCCUGGUGUAGCGGUGAAAUGCGUAGAGAUUGGGAAGAACAUCGGUGGCGAAAGCGCUCUACUGGACCUCAUCUGACACUCAGGGACGAAAGCUAGGGGAGCGAAUGGG
RNAcentral lists this ribosomal RNA (253 nucleotides) under uncultured bacterium. RNAcentral's name for it is "partial 16S ribosomal RNA". It matches the Rfam family "Bacterial small subunit ribosomal RNA", at positions 524 to 776 of the family's 1533-position model. The record is from RNAcentral.